CCUUUACCUCACAUACCGGUCUCUUGCUCUCUCCUAAAGGGCAGCACUCUACUCUCUCCUCCAGCUCUGCUUCACUCCCACUUUAAUUAAUUGCUAUUUCCUGUUCUAAUGUGUUUUAUAUCCCACCUCCUAUAGACUGUAAACUCGUUUGAGCAGGGUCCUCUUCAACCUAUCGUUCUUGUAAGAUUUCUGGUAAUUGUCCUAUUUAUAGUUAAAUCCCCCCUUCUCAUAAUAUUGUAAAGUGCUGCGGAAUCUGUUGGCGCUAUAUAAAUGGC
Non-coding RNA from Pelobates cultripes (western spadefoot toad), 275 nucleotides. The record is from the annotation of a GenBank genome assembly. NCBI's taxonomy places the organism in Eukaryota, Metazoa, Chordata, Amphibia, Anura, Pelobatidae.